GUGAGGAAUAUUGGUCAAUGGGCGGGAGCCUGAACCAGCCAAGUCGCGUGAAGGAAGAAGGAUCUAUGGUUCGUAAACUUCUUUUGCAGGGGAAUAAAGUGCAGGACGUGUCCUGUUUUGUAUGUACCCUGAGAAUAAGGAUCGGCUAACUCCGUGCCAGCAGCCGCGGUAAUACGGAGGAUCCGAGCGUUAUCCGGAUUUAUUGGGUUUAAAGGGUGCGUAGGUGGUUUGAUAAGUCAGCGGUGAAAGUUUGCAGCUUAACUGUAAAAAUGCCGUUGAAACUGUCGGACUUGAGUGUAAAUGAUGUAGGCGGAAUGCGUGGUGUAGCGGUGAAAUGCAUAGAUAUCACGCAGAACUCCGAUUGCGAAGGCAGCUUACUAAGCUACAACUGACACUGAAGCACGAAAGCGUGGGGAUCAAACAGGAUUAGAAACCCUUGUAGUCC
Molecule: ribosomal RNA, 445 nt
Filed under: uncultured bacterium
Lineage: Bacteria
Description: partial 16S ribosomal RNA
Rfam family: Bacterial small subunit ribosomal RNA
Source: RNAcentral